AUGGCCUCCCCUGCUUCGUCUGCUUCGCGGACAGAGCUCCGUCUCCGUCAACGUGUCCUCCCGCCGUCUUUGUUCGUUGUCGAGCUCAAUCGACUCCAGCAGCACCCCCAUGGUGUCGCUCCGCUCGGCACCCGAGCGUCUCUCCAGCUUGCAGUAGCACCACUCUUCUCAAGUGCGCCCACCAGCCAGGCCGUUCGUCUCCAGCUCUUCGCUCUGGCUCUGUAUUGCGUUGUUCAUUCAAUCAGGGAUCUAUUCCAAGAUUCUGAACAUGCAAGCAAAUAUGCAGGAGUAAACAAGUUCUUGCAGUAG
Molecule: ribosomal RNA, 309 nt
Filed under: Triticum aestivum (bread wheat)
Lineage: Eukaryota; Viridiplantae; Streptophyta; Magnoliopsida; Poales; Poaceae
Description: partial small subunit ribosomal RNA
Source: RNAcentral